This 7185-nucleotide long non-coding RNA is filed under the name Homo sapiens (human). Its description in RNAcentral is "non-protein coding LINC01000:15". Lineage: Eukaryota; Metazoa; Chordata; Mammalia; Primates; Hominidae. The record is from RNAcentral.
CUGAUGACUGAGGAGCCUGGUAGCUCCAGGUCGCCCACACUUUCAGGUCUCUUGCACCAGAAGGUGGCAGGAUCCAUUGGGAGGAAACAGGUCACCUUGGAAGGCGUCCCUGGGCCCCCAUCCCCAGGGGUAGGGGCCGUAGGGGGCCCGCUCUGCUGCCUUGACCAGACUCCUGGGCAUUGAAGGCUCCUGGGCCCAGUAAGAAGGAGGUGGGUGCCAAGGUUGAGGAGGAAGCAUCCGAGUAUGUGUAGGAGGAGGACAAGGUGGGACCAUAGACUUUGCCAAAAGCUGCAGGUGGAUCGGGGGACCCUGGGGGCUCAGGAUCCAGCAAGGGGCGGCAGGAGUAAAGGAGGAAGGAAUGACAGGUGCAAAUACCUUCCCACCAAAGCCCUUGUUGCCCUCUGGCUCCUCCCCAGAGUUGUCCCCACUCUCAGUCGGUCACCCACUCCUUGAACUUGAGAUCGGUGUCAGUGGUGCUAAAGCCAUCAUCAGCAAUGACAUCAUCACCCCCUCCUCCUCAUGGAUGACCGUGUGCUCCUCGUCACUUGCUAUGUCCUCACUGGCCAUGUGCUGGGAAUGAGCAGCUCAGGUGGGCAGCAGCAGGGCUGCCCACUGGUCACCUCCCUCACCAGGGGCUGCAAAGUGGCCUGGAGCUCCAUACUGAGUAGAAGGCUUUGGGCCAGAGUAUGAUGCAGUGCCAGACACCACCUGUGUCAGUUCCCGUAGUGCCUGACGGUCUAUUUCCCUGCCGUCCAGGCUGUGUACCCCACUGUGGGAGAAGGCUUGGGCCAGGCUAAGCCAGGUUCCCUGACUGUGUGCAGCCAUUCUGCCCCACAGAAGCUGCUCCUUGGUAUCCGAGCUCUGGAGUGUUUGGGCUGCAACUGACAGGAGUUCAGAGGACACCCCAGGGGCAGUGGCAGUGCCCGUCUCUGAUAUUCUCCGCUCCCACGAGCCCUUGUUACACUCCUGCUAGCCCCUGGCUUGUGGGCUUGGCCUCUGAGCUGGACUUCUUUCGGUCCUUGUUGCAAGUGGGCCACCUUCACCUGGAAGGCCAGGUCGUGGUAUUUCUGCGUCUCAUUGGGCCCCAGGGUGUACCACCGCUUGCUCAGCAUCUGGCUGACGGUCCGGUUGUCCUGGUUGGGGUGACCCUGGUGCGCCCUGCCAGGGCCUGGUGCCGCUUGCUGAAGAUCAUGACCGCCACUCAUGGGCCACCGGAUGUGGUCCUUGUCCCAUUUGUUGGGGCUGCAUCCAUCCUUCUCAGAAGAUGAGUCCUGUUCCUUGCGCAGGGCACUGAGGGACUGGGCCUGACAUCAUCUGGCUGGUAGAGGCAACUGGGUGUCAGGAGACAUGAUGGAGAGGAAAGCAUCAUCAUGGUCAUUCUCUGUCUCACUGUCCAGCAGGGACUCCCCUGAGGGGCCCAGGGCUCCUCCUCCAUGGUGGGAGGUGAGCUUUUACCAGGUUCCACCACCCCCAAAGUGUGUGGGGUUGCGGGCCCUGGGCUUUCAGGGCAGGUGGCUCCAGGGGGCCACCCAGGGUCAGCACUCCCUGUCCCACCUGGUGGACACUCAUGAGCAACAGCUGCUGACUUGGCAGGUUCUUUGCUCUGGUUGGAGGCCACUGAGUGACUGGCAGGUUGCUGGACCUCACAUAGCUGCAGGGAGGGGUCAGGAAGGGGACAGAGUACCAGGAGAACACAGCCACAGAGCAAGGUUCCACGUUCCUCCACACAAACAUGCUGACGCCACUGGAGGCCUCGCUGGACGCAGACAUCAGGGGCCUGUGGGCCAAGUACAUGGUCUGGGCAGGGGGUUCCUGGCAGGGGCUCACACCUCCUCAGCCCCCUCCUCAGCCAAGGCAGCUUGGACCCACGGAAGUGGGGAUGGAAGGGGAGCAUGAGGCCAGGCCUCAAGUUUUUGUUUUUGUUUUUUUUUUUUUUGAGAUGCAGUUUGGCAGGCUGGAGUGCAGUGGUGCGAUCUCAGCUCACUGAAACCUCCACUUCCUGGGUUCAAGCAAUUCUCCGGCCUCAGCCUCCCAUGUAUAUGCACCUUUACUGCUGAAUAUUAUAUAUUUUCUUAUGCUUUCAUGUGAUUGAUUAGCAUUCUUUUUUUUUUUCUUUUUGAGACAGAGUGUUGCUGUCGCCCAGGCUGGAGGGCAGUGGUGUGAUCUCGGCUCACUGCAACCUCUGCUUCAUGGUUUAAUUGAUUCUCCUGCCUCAGCCCCCUGAGUAGUUGGGAUUACAGGCACCCGCCACCACACCUGGUUAAUUUUUUGCAUUUUUAGAAGGCGUGGGUUUUUGCCAUGUUGGCCUGGCUGGACUUGACCUCCUGACCUCAAGUGAUCCACCCUCCUUGGCCUCCCAAAAUGCUGGGAUUACAGGCAUGAGCCACCACACCCAGCUGCUUUCUUUCAUUUUUACUUGAAAAACUCCAUUAAGCAUUUCUUUUAAAGUAGACCUAGUGGUGGCUCAUACCUAUAAUCCCAGCACUCUGGGAGGCCAAGGUUUCAGGAUCGCUUGAGCCCAGGAGUUCAAGACCAGCCUGGGUAACAUAAUGAGACACCAUCUCUACAAAAAAUGCAAAAAUUAGCUGAGCAUGGUGGCACGCACCUGUAGUCCCAGCUACCUGGGAUGCUGAGGUGGGAGGAUCACUUGAGCCCGGGAAGUCACAGCUGCAGUGAGCCAUGAUCGCACCACUGCACUCCAGCCUGAACAACAGUGUGAGACCCUGUUUUUUAUUUUUUAUUUUUAUUUAUUUAUUUUUUAAAGACAUAGGUAGCUAGAGUAAUACAGAGAUGAAAGGGAGAGUAUUCACACACGCUUCUUAAAAUAGAAAUUACUAAAUUUUAUUUUACUUAAAAUAAAAUUUAGCUGUGAGGAUUCUCCACAAGGCUGCUCAUGACAUGGCAGAUGGCUUCCCCUUGGGUGGAAUGACAGGAGGGCGAGGGCCAAGGUGAGGGUGGUACGGAGAGAGAAAAAACUACCAAGAUGAAAGCUGCAGUGCCUUUUAUAACCUAAUCUUGGAAGGGACAUAUCACUACUUGUGCCUUAUCCUUUCAGUCACACAGACCAACCCUGAUAUGUUAUGGAUAGGGACUUGGAGACUGCUCCAAAGACCAGGAGGUGACGAUCACUGGGGUCCUCUGGGAGACUGGCCACCACAGUUGCCUUUUCCUUUUCAGGUCACUUACAAGGGUCUUUGUUGCUAUGGAGGUGGAUGUGGGCAUAAUCAAAGGGUACAUGUUGUACAGGCCUUUAUUAUACAAACCUCUACAAUAAAACAAUAACACAUCACUGCCAAGACAGUUAUACAGUGUUAAAUUGGAAUGGAAAGGAAGGAAUCAGAAUUUCAUGUGAUAGAACACUUAAAAGUCUGCCUGUGCACAUGUAUGAAUAUGCAUUAGGGAGAAGUAAAAGAGUGACCUGAAAAUCUUCCUAAAGUAAUAUUAUCUAGAAAGUUUGAGAGGUUUAACUGUGGCUAACAAGAUUUCCUGAAGAUAAAAUGUUCCUGGGGCCUUAAUAGUUACAAGAACUUUACCAAAUCAAGAAAGCAAAUAUAUAGGAGUCUAAAAAUUAUUUAGUUUUGCAUAUUCAUUUCAGAGUACCAAUUAUGAUUUUAUUUCUUUUUAAUUUUUAAAAGUUUAGAAAAAAAACGAGAACCAAUUACAAUGUUAAAAGGAAACAGGAAGGAUAGAUUUGGGGCCAAUUAUAUUACUGUUUGGGUUUUUGUUACUAUAAAAAUGGAAAUAUUAAAGAUUUUAAAAAAUGAGUGGUAAUAGAGUACAAAUCUGCAAAUGAUGAAUCAGCAAUUAUAUUUUUAUACCAAAUGGUAUGUUUGUGAUAUUGAUAUAGUAUUAAUGCACUGUGAAUUUAUUUAUUUAUUUUGAGAUGGAAUCUUGCUCUGUCGUGCAGACUGGUGUGCAGUGGUGCGAUCUCAGCUCACUGCAACCUCUGAUAUGGUUUAGCUGUGUCCCCACCCAAAUCUCAUCUUGAAUUCCUAUGUGUUGUGGGAGGGACCUGGUGGAAGGUCCAUGAAUGAUGGGGGCAAUCAAUUCUUUCCUGUGCUGUUCUUAUGAUAGUAAAUAAGUCUCACAAGAUCUGAUUUUUUUUUUUUUUUUUUUUUUUUUUUUUUCCAAGACAGAGUCUCACUCUGUCACCCAGGCUGGUGUGAAGUGGUACAAUCUCAGCUCACUGCAGCCUCUGCCUCCCGGGUUCAAGUGAUUCUCCUGUCUCAGCCUCCCAAGUAGUUGGGAUUACAGUUGCCUGCCACCAUGCCUGGCUAAUUUUUGUAUUUUUAGUAGAGAGGGGAUUUCACCAUGUUGGCCAGGCUGGCCUUGAAGUCCUGACUUCAGAUAAUCUGCCUGUCUCAGCUUCCCAAAGUGCUGGGAUUACAGGCGUGAGCCACUGUGCCCAGCUGAGAUCUGAUGGUUUUAAAAAGAGGAGCUCCCCUGCAUGAGAUCUCACUUUUUGCCUGCUACCAUUUAUGUAAGAUGUGACUUGCUCCUUCUUGCCUUCCAUCAUGACUGUGAAGCUUCCCCAGCCAUAUGGAAUUGUAAGUUCAAUUAAACUUCUUUUCUUUGUAAAUUACCCAGUCUCGGGUAUGUCUUUAUCGGCAGCAUGAAAACGGACUAAUACAGUAAAUUGGUACCAGGAGUGGGAUGUUCUGAAAAGAUAUCUGAAAAUGUGGAAACGACUUUGGAACUGGGUAAUAGGCAGAGGUUGGAACAGUUUUGAGGGCUCAGAAAAAGACAGGAAAAUGUGGAAAAGCUUGGAACUUUCUAGAGACUUGUUGAAUGGCUUUGCCAAAAAUGCUGAUAAUGAUAUGGACAAUAAGACCCAGGCUGACGUGGUCUCCGAUGGAGCUGAGGAACUUACUGGGAACUGGAGCAAAGGUGACUCUUGUUAUGUUUUAGCAAAGCGACUGGCAGCAUUUUGCCCCUGCCCUAGAGAUGUGUGGAACUUUGAACUUGAGAGAGAUGAUUUAGGGUAUCUGGCAGAAGAAAUUUCUAAGCAGCAAAGCAUUCAAGAGGUGACUUGGGUGCUGUUGAAAGCAUUCAGUUUUAAAAGGAAAACAGAGGAUAGAAGUUUGAAAAAUUUGCAGCCUGGCAAUGCGAUAGAAAAUUGCAUUUUCUGAAUAGAAAUUCAAGCCAGCUGCAGAAAUUUGCAUAAGGAAGGAGGAGCCAAAUGUUAAUCCCCAAGACAAUGGGGAAAAUGUCUCCAGGCCAUGUCAGAGGCCUUCACGGCAGUCCCUCCCAUCACAGGCCCAGAAGCCUAGGAGGAAAAAGUGGUUUCAUGGGCUGGGCCCAGGGUCCCCAAGCUAUGUGCAGCCUGGGGUUUGGUCCACUGCAUCCCAGCUGCCCCAGCUGUGGCUGAAAGGGGACAAUGUAGAGCUCGGGCCCUGGCUUUAGAUGGUGCAAGCCCCAUGCCUUGUGGUGUUGAGCUUCCAUGUGGUGUUGAGCCUGCAGGUGCACAGAAGUCAAGAAUUGAGGUUUUGGAACCUCCACCUAGAUUUCAGAAGAUGUAUGGAAAUGCCUGGAUGCCCAGGCAGAAAUUUGCUGCAAGGGUGGGGCUCUCAUGGAGAACCUCUGCUAGGGCAGUGCAGAAGGGAAAUGUGGGGUCGGAUCCCCCACACAGAGUCCCUACUGGGGCACUGUCCUCCAGACCCAGAAUGGUAGAUCCACUGACAGCUUGCACUGUGUGCCUGGAAAAGCCACAGACACUCAAUGCCAGCCUAUGAAAGCAACCAGGAGGGAGACUGUACCCUGCAAAGCCACAGGGGCAGAGCUGCUCAAGACCAUGGGAACCUACCUCUUGUAUCAGCAUGACCUGGAUGUGAGACAUGGAGUCAAAGGAGAACAUUUUGGAGCUCUAAGAUUUGACUGCCCUGCUGGAUUUUGGACUUGCAUGGGGCCUGUAGCCCCUUUGUUUUGGCCAGUUUCUCCCAUUUGGAAUGGCUAUAUUUACCCAAUGCCUAUACCCCCAUUGUAUCCAGGAAGUAACUAACCUGCUUUUGAUUUUACAGGCUCAUAGGUGGAAGGGACUUGCCUUGUCUCAGAUGAGACUUUAGACUGUGGACUUUUGAGUUAAUGCUGAAAUGAGUUAAGACUUUGGGGGACUGUUAGAAAGGCAUGAUUGGUUUUGAAAUGCGAGAUCAUGAGAUUUGGGAGGGGCCAGGGGCAGAAUGAUAUGGUUUGGCUGUGUCCCCAUCCGAAUCUCAUCUUGAAUUUCUGUGUGUUGUGGGAGGGACAGGUGGGAGGUCAUUGAAUGAUGGGGGCAAGUCUUUUCUGUACUGUUCUUGUGAUAGUGAAUAAGUCUCAUGAGAUCUGAUGGUUUUAAAAAGAGGAGUUUCCCUGCUCAAGCUCUCUCUCUUUGCCUGCUGCCAUCCCUGUAAGAUGUGACUUGCUCCUCCUUGCCAUCUGCCAUGAUGUGAGGCUUCCCCAGCCACGUGGAACUGUAAGUCCAAUUAAACCUCUUUUCUUUGUAAAUUAUCCAGUCUUGGGUACGUCUUUAUCAGCAGCGUGAAAACAGACUAAUGCACUCUGCCUCCUGGGGUUCAAGCAAUUCUCAUGCCUUAACCUUCCAGGUAGCUGGGACUACAGGUGUGGACUACCAUGCCUGGCUAAUUUUUGUAUUUUUGGUAGAAACAGGGUUUUACCAUGUUGGCCAGGCUGGUCUUGAACUUCUGCCUCAAGUGAUCCACCUGCCUCGGCCUCCCAAAGUGCUGGGAUUACAGGCAUGAGCCACCGCACCUGGCCUGCACUGUGAAUGUAUAAUCCCAGUGAUUAGAUAUGGAUAUUAAUGUUAUUCAUUUCCUUUUUACCUUAUUUUAUGUUUGUUUUUAAUAAUAAUAAUUUUGUAACAUUUGAAGAUAUAAAUAUCCUUAAAUACUUUUACAGUCAUGUUAAAAAUUCUUCGGAUUUCAAAAACAAUGAAAAAAUUGAUAAUGCAUUUGGAAAUUGUAGAAAUAUGAGAGAGUCCUAAUUUUGAAAAUGAGGCACUCUGAUACAGGUCAGUUGUACAAGGACAUGAGUACAUUAGUACUUUGAUACCUUCAUGUUUGGCAGUUAUAGUCAGGUACUUCUUUUAUGAAUUUAAAAUUAGUAAUUUAUUUUAUGACCAACUUCAACUUUUCAGGAGCUGUUAUUGUGAAAGUUUUUUUGCUACUAUGAGUUUUAUCCAGUCAGAAACAG